This 666-nucleotide ribosomal RNA is filed under the name Ligilactobacillus acidipiscis. Its description in RNAcentral is "bacterial SSU rRNA". It matches the Rfam family "Bacterial small subunit ribosomal RNA", at positions 64 to 719 of the family's 1533-position model. Lineage: Bacteria; Bacillati; Bacillota; Bacilli; Lactobacillales; Lactobacillaceae. The record is from RNAcentral.
GUGCUUGCACUCCGCGGGCUAAGUGCGAGUGGCGAACGGGUGAGUAACACGUGGGCAAUCUGCCCAAAAGUGGGGGAUAACACUUGGAAACAGGUGCUAAUACCGCAUCAACCGGCUGACCGCAUGGUCGGCCGGGCAAAGACGGCGUCAGCUGUCGCUUUUGGAUGAGCCCGCGGCGUAUUAACUAGUUGGUAAGGUAACGGCUUACCAAGGUGAUGAUACGUAGCCGAACUGAGAGGUUGAUCGGCCACAUUGGGACUGAGACACGGCCCAAACUCCUACGGGAGGCAGCAGUAGGGAAUCUUCCACAAUGGACGCAAGUCUGAUGGAGCAACGCCGCGUGUAUGAAGAAGGUCUUCGGAUCGUAAAAUACUGUUGUCAGAGAAGAACACGGGAUAAAGUAACUGUUGUCCCGCUGACGGUAUCUGACCAGCAAGUCACGGCUAACUACGUGCCAGCAGCCGCGGUAAUACGUAGGUGGCAAGCGUUGUCCGGAUUUAUUGGGCGUAAAGGGAACGCAGGCGGUCUUUUAAGUCUGAUGUGAAAGCCUUCGGCUUAACCGGAGAAGUGCAUUGGAAACUGGGAGACUUGAGUGCACAAUACGACAGUGGAACUUCAUGUGUAACGGUGAAAAGCACAGAGGUAUGUAAAAAAGUCCGCGCCCAA